CAAGUCGAGCGCACCUUCGGGUGAGCGGCGGACGGGUUAGUAACGCGUGGGAACGUGCCCUUCUCUAAGGAAUAGCCACUGGAAACGGUGAGUAAUACCUUAUACGCCCUUCGGGGGAAAGAUUUAUCGGAGAAGGAUCGGCCCGCGUUAGAUUAGAUAGUUGGUGGGGUAAUGGCCUACCAAGUCUACGAUCUAUAGCUGGUUUUAGAGGAUGAUCAGCAACACUGGGACUGAGACACGGCCCAG
Molecule: ribosomal RNA, 246 nt
Filed under: uncultured bacterium
Lineage: Bacteria
Description: partial 16S ribosomal RNA
Rfam family: Bacterial small subunit ribosomal RNA
Source: RNAcentral